Molecule: long non-coding RNA, 1011 nt
Organism: Varroa destructor (honeybee mite)
Lineage: Eukaryota; Metazoa; Arthropoda; Arachnida; Mesostigmata; Varroidae
Source: RefSeq, a predicted model, not a curated record
AAUUUCUUAAAAUAGAUAUUUCAAAUGGAAAAAAUGUCUUCUGGAUGCAUUUCAUCGGAGCCAAAAUACUGUCGAAACAGCCCAGGAUGUAUGCCAUGUGUUCUCUAACGGUGUUAUCUCUGAAAGGACUGUUGCUGUUAUGUGUUAACUUUGAAAACAGUAUUCGGGACUACAGGAUGCAUUCCGCUCUGAGAAACCAUCUGAACCCGAUGACGACCACCUAAAGACAUUUCAAAAAAACAAUCAAAAAAAAAUUCGCAAAUUAACCAAAGAUGAUAUGCAGCUCCACAGAUGUCGCUAACUGCCUGAAGUUUAUUGGUCUUAGUUCCUUCCAGACAAAAUACGUGGGUCCAGGUAUAUGGUGAAUCUUCCGUCGUCUCGGAAUUGGAACUAUCAACUAAACUAAACGCGAGCCAGUGAAAUUUGGAAAAGUGGCAGAGUUGCGGUUCGUGGUGCGCUAUGUCUGUCAGGCCGCUGCCGACAUAUGUUAAUUAAUAGUUAUCGCUUCCGGAAUAGCUUUCCGGAGCUUAGUCUGGGACAGUCUGACAGUCUAUAAUCUCGAACAUUUGGACCGCCAAAAGGCCUCGUUCCUUAAAGGAGCCUUGAGAUUGAGCACCGGACAAUGCGUAACAGGCACGUCUACCUUCUACCAGUGAUUCCAUAUACGGCGUGGACCUUUGUCGCCAUUUUAUCUAUCAUCCACCUCAGCACUUCCAAAGAACCUGGUGAAAUGGGAUCGAAAAUUCGUCCAGGUCGAUCUCGAAUUAUGUGACAGAUGAGACCUGAGAAGAUCUCGUCCAUCACAUAAAUCGACUUAAUAUACAUGUAGUGACACACUAUGCAGUGCACCGUUUUCAUCUAUGCAGAAUACAAAAAUUUUAUAAAGCAAAUUAUCUUCUACUAGUUGUAGGCAAACUUGUGAUCGUAUCAUGCUUCCCGCUACUUAAAAAUUUAAUUACUGGGUAGCCUGGCUCGGAAACUGACCGAGAAAUGGCUAUAUCAUAGUGUAUA